This 433-nucleotide ribosomal RNA is filed under the name uncultured bacterium. RNAcentral's name for it is "partial 16S ribosomal RNA". It matches the Rfam family "Bacterial small subunit ribosomal RNA", at positions 29 to 507 of the family's 1533-position model. The record is from RNAcentral.
AACGAACGCUGGCGGCAUGCCUAACACAUGCAAGUCGAACGAGACCUUCGGGUCUAGUGGCGCACGGGUGCGUAACGCGUGGGAACCUGCCCUUAGGUUCGGAAUAACUCCCCGAAGGGGGUCUUAAUCCGGAUUAAGUUCUUCGACCAAAGGAUUUCUCGCCUUUGGAUGGGCCGUGGUUGGUUUGGCUAGUUGGUAGGGUAAAAGCCUACCAAGGCGACGUUCCAUAGCUGGUCUGAGAGGAGGAUCAGCCACACUGGGACUGAGACACGGCCCAGACUCCUACGGGAGGCAGCAGUGGGGAAUAUUGGACAAUGGGCGAAAGCCUGAUCCAGCAAUGCCGCGUGAGUGAUGAAGGCCUUAGGGUUGUAAAGCUCUUUUACCCGGGAUGAUAAUGACAGUACCGGGAGAAUAAGCUCCGGCUAACUCCGUG